CGCCGAAGAAGAGCCAGGUGAGCGCGUAGGCGAGCACGAAGAAGAGCAGGCUGAGGCGCCACUGCAGGUCGGCCAGCGUGGUGAACAGGGCAAGGACACGUGCAAAUAUCCCUUUUCAGCCUGCUUCCCCGGGCGUGCAGAUCAAACAAGGCAAAAGAAAUAGAAGGGCUUUAAGUGUAUUUUGUUAACAGCGAAAAGUCUAGAAACAACCCAAACUUUCGACGGAGAGAAGAGCCCAGGUUAGGCUUAAAACCGUUCAUCCAACAAACUUCCGUGGAGGCCAAGGCCUGGGCAGUGUGCUGGGUGGGGGAUGGUUACAGAGAUGACUUGGUCUCUGCACACCUGGAGCUCACGGUCCAGCGGGGGGACAAAGAUGUGCAGACACGUCACGGUAACGUCACUGCCGGUCAUUCAUCGAGCGGUGGCUGUGGACUAGAGGACUCAUCUGACAGCCCACACAGGGACCCCACGAGCUGGGUCUGAUCUCCAUUUACAGAUGAGAAGCUGAAACAGAGAAAGAUGAUUUGCCAGAUGUCACAGAGGCAGAGACGGUGGUUAGACUCACCCCAGGGUGUCCCUGCCACACCGCGGGCUCGUCACAAAACCACGGGACCUCGGGAACGCAAUAGGUGUGAUGUGGGGACAUAAUCAGCUGCUAUGUUCACAUAUGAAAAUGUGUGCAGAGACACAGUCUUGCAGGAAAAAGCAGCACGCACAGCCAUUCUUGAAAGGCAAAGACCAUUUGGAAAGAACUUCCUCAGAGACUUCUCCCUCACCAGAAGGUAUCUCUUCUGCUCCUGCCCUUGGGUUCCUUCCUCCCUGAGUGUCAGAAAGCUUGGACUGUGCCCAGUAAGCAAGGGGCACCCUGUUUGGGGUUUGACAGAAGAACACAGGGACUGACAUGAUGAUGACAGGCUGCCUCUUCCUUUGAGAAUGCAGGAAAGGGUGAAGGGUAGGUCCAGGUCCUGGGCUGUUAGUGACCUUCCUGAUUCUGGUAGUGGCCUUGAAAUAGAAAGGGACAUCCAAGAGAAAUACAGCAUAGGGAGACCUGGCAGGACUUGGUCGCUUAGCUGACAUGUCAAGGGCUGGGGGAGAGGGAGGGGUGAAGAGGAGAGGUCACUUCGGUUUUAAAAUCUGUUUGGCCUGGAGAAACACAGAAAUAAAGAAGUCACGAGGCUCGAGGAGGAAGAUGGUGAGUUCGGUCUGGGGCCUGCCCGGUGGAAGUGGAAAUCCCCCGCCAGCAGCUGGACCCGUGAGGCUCUAGGGAAAGCCUCAGGAUGAAGAUAGAGGUUUGCAUGGGAUCAGUGAUGGUCGCCGGAGCCAUGUCAGCGAUGAAGGCUGGACAUCAGACACAGGGAGAACAAGGACACAGGGAGAACAGAGGACGGAGCCUUCCAUGCUGGAGGAGGGAGCUGCAGCAGGUUCGGGCGUGCAGGGCCAGUGGUGGCGGAUGAGGCUGGAAUGGUCCCGGGUCUAGGUUGUGGCCCAGACCACAGCCCAGUGAUGCAGCAGAGAGGAAGGGGACAGGCCCAAGGGGCUUCACAAAGUCCAUGCACUGAUUAGAGAAGAUGAGGGGAGGGAGGAUGAAGGUUCUGGGCUUGCUGUCUGGUUUCCCUGCAGACCUUCUGGCUUGCCUCCAGAUUUACCUUCCUAAAAUUCAGCUAUGACUUCAUCCUUGGGUCAAGAGCCUCCGUGGACCUCCUUGGCCUCCAGAAGCUCAGAGCUCACCCUGAACUGCACAUUCCUCUCUGUACUCCAGCUCUUCCCCCAACACAGACACUCUGCCUGUGGUACCCGCCCCUGUCGCCCACUGCCCUCCCUGAGGGGCAGCCUGUGUGCCCUGUACAUUUCUCAUCCUAUGGCUUUUAGAAACAAAACUAAACUAACAAUGUCAAGUUUCUUAGUUUGUGUUUCCCCCCCCCCCCCAAGAUGUAUAUCAACUCAGUACG
Long non-coding RNA from Mustela lutreola (European mink), 1949 nucleotides. RefSeq lists it as uncharacterized. NCBI's taxonomy places the organism in Eukaryota, Metazoa, Chordata, Mammalia, Carnivora, Mustelidae. The transcript is spliced from 3 exons. The record is from RefSeq and is a predicted model, not a curated record.